RNAcentral lists this ribosomal RNA (447 nucleotides) under uncultured actinomycete. RNAcentral's name for it is "bacterial SSU rRNA". It matches the Rfam family "Bacterial small subunit ribosomal RNA", at positions 227 to 688 of the family's 1533-position model. The record is from RNAcentral. Lineage: Bacteria; Bacillati; Actinomycetota; Actinomycetes; Actinomycetales.
GUGCUCGCGGCCUAUCAGCUUGUUGGUGAGGUAAUGGCUCACCAUGGCUUCGACGGGUAGCCGGCCUGAGAGGGUGACCGGCCACACUGGGACUGAGACACGGCCCAGACUCCUACGGGAGGCAGCAGUGGGGAAUAUUGGACAAUGGGCGGAAGCCUGAUCCAGCAACGCCGCGUGAGGGAUGACGGCCUUCGGGUUGUAAACCUCUUUCAGCACGGACGAAGCGCAAGUGACGGUACGUGCAGAAGAAGCACCGGCCAACUACGUGCCAGCAGCCGCGGUAAUACGUAGGGUGCGAGCGUUGUCCGGAAUUAUUGGGCGUAAAGGGCUCGUAGGCAGGUUUGUCGCGUCGGAGUGAAAACCGGGGCUUAACACCUGGCCUGCUUUCGAUACGGGCAGACUAAGGUACUCAGGGGAGAACGGAAUUCCGGGUGUAGCGGUGAAAUG